Molecule: ribosomal RNA, 253 nt
Filed under: uncultured bacterium
Lineage: Bacteria
Description: partial 16S ribosomal RNA
Rfam family: Bacterial small subunit ribosomal RNA
Source: RNAcentral
UACGUAGGGCGCAAGCGUUAUCCGGAAUUAUUGGGCGUAAAGAGCUCGUAGGCGGUUUGUCGCGUCUGCCGUGAAAGUCCGGGGCUCAACUCCGGAUCUGCGGUGGGUACGGGCAGACUAGAGUGAUGUAGGGGAGACUGGAAUUCCUGGUGUAGCGGUGAAAUGCGCAGAUAUCAGGAGGAACACCGAUGGCGAAGGCAGGUCUCUGGGCAUUACCUGACGCUGAGGAGCGAAAGCGUGGGGAGCAAACAGG